RNAcentral lists this ribosomal RNA (403 nucleotides) under uncultured bacterium. RNAcentral's name for it is "partial 16S ribosomal RNA". It matches the Rfam family "Bacterial small subunit ribosomal RNA", at positions 28 to 526 of the family's 1533-position model. The record is from RNAcentral.
GACGAACGCUGGCGGCGUGCCUAAUACAUGCAAGUCGAACGCAGUGGGGACGGGUGAGUAACACAUGGGUAACCUCCCAUCAGAGGGGAUAACACUUGGAAACAGGUGCUAAACCGAUACUGAGGGAUGAACCCGCGGUGCAUUAGCUAGUUGGUGAGGUAACGGUUCACAAAGGCCACGAUGCAUAGCCAACCUGAGAGCGUGAUCGGCCAGAGUGGGACGGAGACACGGCCCAGACUCCUACGGGAGGCAGCAGUAGGGAAUUUUCGGCAAUUGACGAAAGUCUGACCGAGAAACGCGGCGUGAGUUAAGAAGGUUUUCGGAUCGUAAAACUCUGUUGUUAGAGAAGCGGUAUCUAACCAGAAAGCCACGGCUAACUCCGUGCCGGCAGCCGCGGUAAUAC